RNAcentral lists this ribosomal RNA (253 nucleotides) under uncultured bacterium. RNAcentral's name for it is "partial 16S ribosomal RNA". It matches the Rfam family "Bacterial small subunit ribosomal RNA", at positions 524 to 776 of the family's 1533-position model. The record is from RNAcentral.
UACGUAGGGUGCGAGCGUUAAUCGGAAUUACUGGGCGUAAAGGGCGCGUAGGCGGUUUGACAAGUCUGAUGUGAAAUCUAUGGGCUCAACCCAUAGCCUGCAUUAGAAACUGUCGGGCUUGAGUAUGGGAGAGGUGAGUGGAAUUUCCGGUGUAGCGGUGAAAUGCGUAGAUAUCGGAAGGAACACCUGUGGCGAAAGCGGCUCACUGGACCAUAACUGACGCUGAGGCGCGAAAGCUAGGGGGGCAAACAGG